CCUACGGGAGGCUGCAGUGGGGAAUAUUGGACAAUGGGCGCAAGCCUGAUCCAGCCAUACCGCGUGGGUGAAGAAGGCCUUCGGGUUGUAAAGCCCUUUUGUUGGGAAAGAAAUCCAGCCGGCUAAUACCUGGUUGGGAUGACGGUACCCAAAGAAUAAGCACCGGCUAACUUCGUGCCAGCAGCCGCGGUAAUACGAAGGGUGCAAGCGUUACUCGGAAUUACUGGGCGUAAAGCGUGCGUAGGUGGUUGUUUAAGUCUGUUGUGAAAGCCCUGGGCUCAACCUGGGAACUGCAGUGGAAACUGGACAACUAGAGUGUGGUAGAGGGUAGCGGAAUUCCCGGUGUAGCAGUGAAAUGCGUAGAGAUCGGGAGGAACAUCCAUGGCGAAGGCAGCUACCUGGACCAACACUGACACUGAGGCACGAAAGCGUGGGGAGCAAACAGGAUUAGAUACCCAUGUAGUC
This 465-nucleotide ribosomal RNA is filed under the name uncultured bacterium. RNAcentral's name for it is "bacterial SSU rRNA". It matches the Rfam family "Bacterial small subunit ribosomal RNA", at positions 338 to 795 of the family's 1533-position model. The record is from RNAcentral.